GACGAACGCUGGCGGCGUGCCUAAUACAUGCAAGUAGAACGCUGAAGGAGGAGCUUGCUUCUCUGGAUGAGUUGCGAACGGGUGAGUAACGCGUAGGUAACCUGCCUGGUAGCGGGGGAUAACUAUUGGAAACGAUAGCUAAUACCGCAUAAGAGUAGAUGUUGCAUGACAUUUGCUUAAAAGGUGCAAUUGCAUCACUACCAGAUGGACCUGCGUUGUAUUAGCUAGUUGGUGAGGUAACGGCUCACCAAGGCAACGAUACAUAGCCGACCUGAGAGGGUGAUCGGCCACACUGGGACUGAGACACGGCCCAGACUCCUACGGGAGGCAGCAGUAGGGAAUCUUCGGCAAUGGACGGAAGUCUGACCGAGCAACGCCGCGUGAGUGAAGAA
Molecule: ribosomal RNA, 392 nt
Filed under: Streptococcus mitis
Lineage: Bacteria; Bacillati; Bacillota; Bacilli; Lactobacillales; Streptococcaceae
Description: bacterial SSU rRNA
Rfam family: Bacterial small subunit ribosomal RNA
Source: RNAcentral